GAGUAUCUGUUUCGAGCAGUAUUUCUCAACCUUGACACCGCGGACAUCUCAAGCCUGACAAUUCUUUGCUGUGGGAUGUGGGGUGGAGGUUGCCCUGUGCACUGCAGGAGCGGCACCCCGGCCUGUGCACACUAGAUGCCAGAGUGCCCAGCCCCCCAGCUGUGACACCUGAAAUGUCUCCGAUGUUGUCGAAUUUCCGCUGGGUGACAGAACUGCCCCCCCGGAUAAAUGCUGGAACUGAAAGAAGACUUGACAUGUCCCAACUCCCUUUUUGAUGAACUAUCAAGGCGGUCAUCAGCGAUCAAACCAAAGAAACAACACUAAAAGAUCUCAAAGAAUCAGUUUCCAACCAGAAGCUGAUUCCACGGGACUACGCUGGACUCUGAUAUUUUCAAAGCAUUUUGCCUAGGUAUUUCUCCGUGGUGACUACAAAAAUGCCCCCCCUCACCCCAACACCCCUGCAUGCUUUCCUGAUAGCCUAGUUCCGUGACAGUUCUAGGUCUGAUAAAGACCUGUCUCAGGUCCAGGGCUAGAAUGGAAGGAUGGUUUGCAAACGUGCCAGAGCUCCAAGGGUUUGGAAACUGUAUCUCAAUCUUCUCAUGUCAGCAUUCCCACGUAACUCAGCAGACUCUCUAGCUCCACGAGGCCAGGUCCCGUGGAUAAAGCUCAGCAUUGCUGCAAAAAAAGAAGUCAGCUAAUAUACAAAGGUGAGGACUUAUGGGGUCAGUUGGUUGGCAUAGAGCUGCUGAGGAAGGAUCGUGCCUGAGCACGAACCGUGAUAGAGUCUCAGUGUCACUGAUUAUCAUGGUGGACCUUGGGCUUUCCCUGGUUCUCAUUACAUCCCUGGGCAAACAUCCUGGAUGUAGUCUGUCUCUUAGGAGAAAACUGCCCAGAUUCUUACUUCUCCAAAGAGCAGUUUAGUGUAGUGUUAAGAGCAUGGACCCUGGGGCUAAAAAUGCCCCAAUUCAAACCCAGCUCAUUACUCAUAACUCUGUACCUUAGGCAAGUGAAUUAAAAUCUCUACCUCA
Non-coding RNA from Delphinapterus leucas (beluga whale), 1028 nucleotides. Lineage: Eukaryota; Metazoa; Chordata; Mammalia; Artiodactyla; Monodontidae. The record is from RefSeq and is a predicted model, not a curated record.